GACGAACGCUGGCGGCGUGCUUAACACAUGCAAGUCGAACGGAAAGGCCCUGCUUUUGUGGGGUUCUCGAGUGGCGAACGGGUGAGUAACACGUGAGUAACCUGCCCUUGACUUUGGGAUAACUUCAGGAAACUGGGGCUAAUACCGGAUAGGAGCUCCUGCUGCAUGGGGGGGGUUGGAAAGUUUCGGCGGUUGGGGAUGGACUCGCGGCUUAUCAGCUUGUUGGUGGGGUAGUGGCUUACCAAGGCUUUGACGGGUAGCCGGCACGAGAGGGUGACCGGCCACAUUGGGACUGCGAUACGGCCCAGACUCCUACGGGAGGCAGCAGUGGGGAAUAUUGCCCAAUGGGCGCAAGCCUGAUGCAGCAACGCCGCGUGCGGAAUGACGGCCUUCGGGUUGUAAACCGCUUUCGCCUGUGACGAAGCGUGAGUGACGGUAAUGGGUAAAGAAGCACCGGCUAACUACGUG
This 468-nucleotide ribosomal RNA is filed under the name uncultured bacterium. RNAcentral's name for it is "partial 16S ribosomal RNA". It matches the Rfam family "Bacterial small subunit ribosomal RNA", at positions 28 to 507 of the family's 1533-position model. The record is from RNAcentral.